This is a long non-coding RNA of Anthonomus grandis grandis, 880 nucleotides long. RefSeq lists it as uncharacterized. NCBI's taxonomy places the organism in Eukaryota, Metazoa, Arthropoda, Insecta, Coleoptera, Curculionidae. The transcript has 3 exons. The record is from RefSeq and is a predicted model, not a curated record.
UGACGCUCUUGGAAACGGAAAACAUGUAACCAACUUUUUAAAUAAAAAAACAUAUUUUUUUGAGACCUCUUUAGAGUUUAGAAUUUAGCUCUCUUUGAGAAAAUAGACCACUUCUUAUUACUUGAGGAUCUUUGAAGAUUCUCAAAGAUCGAAAUCUGGACUGGAGGAUGAUUCGCAGAAAAUUGAAAGUGGUCGUAAGAGCCACAGGCAUGCAAGUUUUGGGAGAGUUGCAAGUGAAGAACCUUCAGCCGAUAUCUAAUUCUACCAUCUUUGGAAUUAUUUCGGGGCGAAAUGAGCUUAGGGAGUGGGCAGUGUAACGGUAUUGGCAACGCCGUAAAUGCCAGCUGUUCUCCGUCAUUCUGGAAUCACACAAGUGGGUAUACCGCACGACGUUUUUGAAGACGCGUGAAAGGUCAUCCAAUUUUGCGGAAACAUGGUCAGCCAAGUAUAAAAGGACCGGCGUCGUCGUAUUAAUAAUAGUAAAUCAGCUAACCAGCAUUGGUCAAGGAAAUUAAAAGAAACCAGACAUCUGCACAACCUCGCAAUCCAAGAUGAAAAUACCAACAAUAUCAACCUGGUCAAGGUUAUGCUUUAUUAUGAAUUUUCCUUUUAAUAAUUAUUUAAUGUUAUAAAACAAAAUAUCCUAUCCAUGUUUAUGUUCUGUUUUGAUAUAUUAGCAAUAUAAAUCCAUUUGCAAUAAAUAUGGUUAUUUUCUAAGCUGAUCAAAAUUUUAUAAAUAUGCAAAUCUAUAAAACUAGGGUAGAUUUUUCUAUGGAGAUUACCCUUCCUUAUAAGCCCAAACUCUGCUUGCUUUCUAAUUCUAUAACCACUUAUCUAAGACUUUGACAAAUUAAGGAAGCUUUAUUAAAUUAUACCAAAA